RNAcentral lists this ribosomal RNA (433 nucleotides) under uncultured bacterium. Its description in RNAcentral is "bacterial SSU rRNA". It matches the Rfam family "Bacterial small subunit ribosomal RNA", at positions 29 to 507 of the family's 1533-position model. The record is from RNAcentral.
AACGAACGCUGGCGGCAGGCUUAACACAUGCAAGUCGAACGAACUCUUCGGAGUUAGUGGCAGACGGGUGAGUAACGCGUGGGAACCUACCUUUAGGUACGGAACAACAGUUGGAAACGACUGCUAAUACCGUAUGUGCCCUAUGGGGGAAAGAUUUAUCGCCUAAGGAUGGGCCCGCGUUGGAUUAGCUAGUUGGUGGGGUAAAGGCCUACCAAGGCGACGAUCCAUAGCUGGUCUGAGAGGAUGAUCAGCCACACUGGGACUGAGACACGGCCCAGACUCCUACGGGAGGCAGCAGUGGGGAAUAUUGGACAAUGGGCGCAAGCCUGAUCCAGCCAUGCCGCGUGAGUGAUGAAGGCCCUAGGGUUGUAAAGCUCUUUCAGCGAGGAGGAUAAUGACGUUACUCGCAGAAGAAGCCCCGGCUAACUUCGUG